This is a long non-coding RNA of Haliotis rubra (blacklip abalone), 3199 nucleotides long. RefSeq lists it as uncharacterized. The record is from RefSeq and is a predicted model, not a curated record. Lineage: Eukaryota; Metazoa; Mollusca; Gastropoda; Lepetellida; Haliotidae. The transcript is spliced from 2 exons.
CGCACCUUCAUCAGCGAAAGGCUGUUCCGGAGUAGUAGACAGUUUUGUGUAACACUUCAUUUCUUUUACUGGCUACGUUUCUGUCGCUGAAUCACCUGGUGGAAGAUGGCUAGAUCAUUUCCUAAAACGGUUAACCAUGUGUCAAUAGUGAAAAAAACUGUCUAUGUACAUUCCCCACUUCACAGACGUCUUUGAUGAGGAGUCGUUCUACAUCUUUGCAUUCCUGUUCACUGCUGCAACAAUCAUUGCUGCCGUAAUUCUUGCACGAAAAACAACACUCAAAGACCAUGGUCAUGUGGACUAAGAAUAUGAUUCGGCAGGAAUGAUACGGUGGUGAUACGCUGUGUAUGAACAGAGGUGAUGCACUAUGUAUGAACAGAGGAGAUAGCCUGUGUAUGAACAGAGGUAAUGUCCUCUGUAUCACACUAUUUUUAUGAAAAGAAAACCCUUGUGCAAUAUGUUUCUAUUGAGCACACCAACAUGUUGAGUUAAUAUGAAGAUGAAACUACAUGUAUUUCUCAGCCAACUUAACAUUUUCAGUACAACAUAAUUUAUUUUCUUUUGUCAGUAAGAAAAUCUCUUAUACCCUCUUAUGUAAAGAAAGUGAACUAUUAGUGUGAAUUUACAUUUUGCAUCUGUUUUUAUCAUGUUUAUCAUCUAUUAUUUGAGGGAUUUGAUGAGGAUGAUAUGUGAGAUGAAUGCAUCUAAUCCCGACUUUGUCAUGUUAUAUUUAUUUUUCUUGGUUGUGAGUAUACCAGUACUACAAGCAUGUUUAUCUAUAUGUCCAUCUCUUGUUUGAUUGUUUUGCUCUGCAGUCAUGUAAUACUUACAGAGAAACCUUGAAAGCUGAUGCUAUUAGUAUUAUCUGGAUAUAUUAUUUUAAAGACAAAGUGGUCCAGGCAGAAGCUUCAUUGAAACAUUUUCUGAAAAAAAGCACUGUACUUGUAGUGACUCCCAGUCAAAAUGAGUCGACAGUGAUGUACCUAGCAGAGAUGCCAACCCUUAUAGUGUUAUGGUAGAUACUGAAUUGAUCCAUUACUAUUGCUUUAAGAAAAUUUGAAAAAAGAAAACUGGUUAUCAAAAAUCAUAUUAAUCAUUAAAAAAUGGAUUACCUGGGUGAACAGAAAAAAAUGACUUUAUGCCAUUGUGGGAAUAUAUUUGUUCUCCUCAGUGGCCAGUAAUUAUCCUUAAGACUGCAGGAAGUUUUUCAGAAAAUCCCAAAUAGGAAAUUAUAGAUUUUCCAUUUAUUAUAUUUAUUUAGAACUUAAGUUUAGUCUUUGUAGACAGAGAAAGACACUUUAAUGCUAGUUUAACAUUGUUGCACUGUGUAAACACACAAAAUGACACCAUGUGCUGGAGUUGAAUGUCAUUGUUACAAAAAACCACAAAGGAAGACAAAACAAUUUCAUUGCAAAUGUAGGGAUUCUGUAUGUUGUUGUGCUUUCUUGUGGAUUGUGCCAUUUGAUAAGAGAUUUAUUAACCACACCAAUGUAAGGUUGGCAUCUCUGACCUAGCCGAUAAAUAACAAUACUCUACUGACGACUUACUAGUGGGCCGGUGGGGUAGCCUAGUGGUUAAAGUGUUCGCUCUUCACGCCGAAGACUCGGGUUCGAUUCCCCACAUGGGUACAAUGUGUGAAGCCCAUUUCUGGUGUUCCCCGCCAUGAUAUUGCUGGAAUAUUGCUACAAACGGCGUAAAACUGAACUCACUUACUAGUGCAGGAGCGAUUGAUCCCGUUAUUGCCCACAUGAAUUUUGUGGUGGUGUUUACAGCUACAAUUGAUUAUUAAUCAAUAACUGAGCUCCAAUUAUCAAUCUGCAUAUUGUGGGUGAUAACCAUCACUAAUACUGACUGAUAUACUUUAUAUAUAUUACUUUGUACCAAUAAUAGUUAUCAACAUUGUAUGUGACAAGCUUUCAACUGGUCGGUGAUCCAGUAUGUAUUUCAAUACUUGUAAAAAGGCUACUUACCCUCAAAUCAUACUUGGUGAGCAACAGGUAGAACCACUAUACUGUAGGGUUGCCAGGAGCGCUUAAUCUGAUCACUGACUUGUUGGUUUUUGAUGUCCUCUAAGACCAUGAGUAGCCUAGUGGUUAAAGCGUUCGCUCAUCACGCCGAAGACCCAGGUUCAAUUCCCUACAUGGGUACAAUGUGUAAAGCCCAUUUCUGGUGUUCCCUGCAGUGAUAUUGCCGGAAUAUUGCUAAAAGUGGCGUACAACCAAACUUACUCACUCCAAGACCAUGAUGAUCUUGUGUCUGCUAGCAUUUUAUGUUUCCAUCCUUGUGUUUCAACCUGUGAAUAUUUCAUGUUAGUUUCCAAUGUAGCUUGGCUGUUCAGUGCAAUAUUGAGAAACGGGUUGUGUUUUUGUGCAAUACACUGGUGAUCGCAUUGUUUACCAAGUCUCACUGUAUUAUAUAUUGUACUUUAUGUUUAUAUCCAAUUGAUAUUUAUUUUCCUCUUUACCCAAUGCAGUGUUGUGUUGAUCUCAUACAUUUACACUUAUUUAUAUCUCGGUUUGUUUGUAUUUUGAAUUUUUCUGCUUAUCCUAGUCUCACAAGGACUAAAAUGCAAAAGGAAGAUUUUUUUGUCCCUGCUUUAAUAGUUGUUGUGAAAUUUGGUAAAGGGCCUGAACCUAAUUCCCCAAUCCUCUUAAAAAGAAUUUGGAUCUGAAAAUUGAAAAUAUAAUACAUCUUACACAUACAGGAGAGUCAUCCAGGACAUACAGGUCAUAUUACUAUUAGCAUUAUUAUUGAUUUGUCUUUUUUUAGAUGAACAAUACCAAUCAUAUUCAGUAUUUUUGCUGAAGUCGGUCAAUUCAUGAUUGCACUUUGUCAGAGUUAAAGAACAAUAAAAAUCAUAAUAACGUCUAAAAGGAAUGUUUGGAAAGAGCAGUGUAGGGUUUGUUGUUUCUGUUUAUGGUUAAUCCUGUUAAUCCAGAUAGUAGUGUCCACAAUCCAAAGGUCAGAACUACCAGUAAUAUUUUCUCACCUGAACUAUCAUUUUACCCAGUUUGAACAGUGACGGAAAGAGUCCUGAAAACAAAGCAUCCAGAUUAAUAGAGUCUGGGUUCUCCAGAUUUCACUGUAGGUACAAAUUUCAGUGUGCAAUAUGUAUUUAUUGAAGUUGCUCAUUUGUGAUCCCAUCGAUGCUGCUUCUUACUGUAUAAUGUUGGUGAAAUAAACUGGUUGAAUUUUGACA